This 2949-nucleotide long non-coding RNA is filed under the name Equus caballus (horse). RNAcentral's name for it is "lncRNA (ENSECAG00000029855.3)". The record is from RNAcentral. Lineage: Eukaryota; Metazoa; Chordata; Mammalia; Perissodactyla; Equidae.
UUCACAUCUCUUGUACUUGGGCUUUGUGGAACAUUUUCAAGCUUUGGGUCUAUAGUUUUCUUCAAACUUGGAAAAUUUUUGGCAUUAGUUUCUUCAAAUAAUUUUUUGUCACCUACUCUCUUUCAGAAGCUCAAAUUACAUGAGUAUUGGGCCAUUUGAAGUUGUCCCACAGCUCUUUUAAUUUUUAGUAAGCCUCUGCCUCUGGACUGUGAACUUCACAAGUGUUUCUUAGUUUUUUUCUCCUCCCUCCUCUUUAGGUGGGACAGGAUGGCUGGAGUGGGCUGGAGUUGGGUAUUUCCCUUCCUUCAGGUCAGUUAGGCUCUAAUAAUAUCCACCUGGUUAGGCUCUGUUAACUAGUUUCUCUUGAGGGCAGGCCUUAUUAAGAAGAGUGCUCUGGGAUGUUUAAAAAUGGUUCCUUUUCCUCUCUCCAUUCUAGACGUCUGAUGAGAUUUUUGUCAGCUAUUUACUGUGAGAACCUGGACGAGCUCCUGGAGGAAGAUCAAAGUGGUGUUUAGAGAAUGAUCAUGAAGUGAAUGCUGACUCCUUUCACGCCGUGACGAGUGUGAUGACUAAACAGGGGAGAAGACACUGAGUGCUGGGAGAGCAGUUUGUUUUAGAGAUGCUGUUGACAUAGGAGGAAAAUACAUUAUGAAACAGAAGACGAAGAAACUGAAGCAGAAGGAAGGUAAAUGACUUACCUCAGGUCACACAGCUAAGGAGUGGGUAAGCUGGAAUCUGAACCCAGGAACCCUGGCUGCUCUGGAGCGAUUGAUACCCAGGAUAUGGUGAAGAAAGCCACUAUUCCAAUUUCCAGUUCCAGUUCCCUUCACACCCAGAUGUGCUUUGUUUCUUAUCUUGGAUUUUGUGCGGGUGUAUGUUAUAUGAUACAGCCUCCUUUUGUUGACCUAAUUUAAAUACACUUACAUUUGUUUCAUCAAAAAUAGCCUUAAUGAGACCUGCCAAAUUUUACUUAAAAAAAAAGUUCUAAUGUACCCUCUAAUUGGAAUGCCUUUUCCACCAUAUUUAUCUGUUGAAAUUGUACUAAUACUUCAUGAUCUAGCUCAAGUACUGCUUAUUUGUGGCUUUUCUGAAUUCCAGCUCCAAAUUAGCAUUGUUUUUCCUCCUCUUUGUUCUUAGUGCACUUCUCAGUCUAUUCAAGGACUUGAGAAUUUCUAGUUUUGAUAUUGUAAGUUCUGUACAUAUUUUCCAUAAUAUUACUUUGAACCAUAUGAAAUUGUCAACCUUCAAGUAUUUUCAAUUUAGGAAAAUGGCAAUUUCAUGUGGUUCAAUUUAAUAUAUUGGAAGGAAACUGAUUGACCCAGAGGUAGCUUAAUGAUCUUUUCACCCUGAAUAUCUGGUAGAUAGUAAGGUCUCAAUAAAUUUUGAUGGAAUUAACUAUUUCUGAGGAAUAAAAUCUUAGUAACUUGGCAGAAUUUUCCCCAAAUAUUCUCCUGGGGAUAAUAAAGUGUUCAGUAGAAGAAAUCCACCAUUCUCCCUGUUUUCUACUUCUGACAUUGUGUCCAUUUCCCCUACCCCCCCCCAAAAAAACCCCUAAAAGUAGUUAUUCAGUGUUCUGUGUGUGGAUAACCAAAACUGGAGACUUUAAUUUGUCUGCACAAGAUAAAACAAGUUCACAUUUACUAAAAGUACAUUUAUAAGGAUUUUUGAACUGUUGUUUUCUAGUAGUGUCCUGGUAAAUGGGUCAGAUUAUUACAAAUAAACAAGGUCCCAGUCUCUGAAGUUUAUGGAAUAGUGAGGGACCGCAUAUAAGUGCAGUUCUUGGAAAGGUCAGAAGAAUGGCACUUAUCAUGGGAGAUUUCACAAAGAAGUGGCUGAGUAGGAGUUAGUCAGAACUGGAAGGAAUAUGGGGUGUUGUCUUGCAUAAUAUUAUAGGCAGAGUGAAUAAAGAGCUUAUGAAAGCUUGGGAGAGUUGCAAAUAGAACCAUGUAGAUAGAAUAUAUGGGAUGCAGGGUGAGUUGGGGGAAAUGACAAAGAGGAGUCACUUGAACAUUUUAUGUAGGGUAUUAACAUUGCCAGAUUUGUGCUUUCUAAAGGUAAAAAAGAAAUGAGAAUGUAGAAACUGCUGAGUUAAAUGAACUGACCACUCUGACUAUAUUGCAAAGAAGGAUGAAAAGAGAGCUAGGGAGACCAGGUAGGUGAUUACUGCUAUGAUCUGAGCAAGGGCGAUGAGGAUCUUGAAUAAAGAUGUGGUCACUGAAACCAUUUGGAAAGUGGAUUCAAAUAAUAUAGGAAAGUAGAAUUGAUAGGAAUUGGAGAUCACUCAGAGUCUGGGAGUAAUCCCAUUUUUUGUUUUCUGCCAAUUAUAUCUAAGUAAUUUUUUUAUUUAAAAUAGGCAUGGAUCAUUUUGAGGUCAACUUAGUUGUGAAUGAUCCUUGCAACAAAGUCUUCUGUGAACUGAAUACUUUAUUCAAAAUAUGUAUACGUAGCCCAGAAUAAAUUGUUGCUUCUCCGGAGGCACUCUUGAAUGAAGUUUUAUAUAAAUUAAACAUUUCGUGAUGAUGAGCAAAACACACAUCAAAUUAAAACAUGCAACAAUAUUAAUUAAACAGAGGAAAGUUGUAAAUUGGUGUUGGCAUGCAUCUUCACUUUCAUUUAUUUUUAUGAAACUGCAUUAUUAAUGUUUCUUUUAAAAAUGAAUGAUGAAAUAGCAUUUUGUCAUUAAAAUAUGUGUGUCAAGCCUGCUGUCGUCAAAGAAGGUGAUUAUGCCACUGUUAUCAGAAACAAGCUGAGCCUGGAAGAGGCUUGUUUUGUCAGCUUCAUGUUUUGUUUUGUUUGUUUUUUUGAAUUAGCAGUAUGUAAUACUCAGAAAAAGGUGUUUUGUAUUUAUAUUUUUUGGCCUUUCAUUUGGUUGAAGUUGAAUAGCUUUUCUUAAAGAAUUAAAAACUUAAUUUCUUUACAACCAUUAAAGGAUAUUUGUCUUAAAAAAUC